This 253-nucleotide ribosomal RNA is filed under the name uncultured bacterium. RNAcentral's name for it is "partial 16S ribosomal RNA". It matches the Rfam family "Bacterial small subunit ribosomal RNA", at positions 524 to 776 of the family's 1533-position model. The record is from RNAcentral.
UACGUAGGGGGCGAGCGUUGUCCGGAUUUACUGGGCGUAAAGGGCGCGUAGGCGGCUUUUCAAGCGUGCGGUGAAAGCUCGGGGCUUAACUCCGAGUCUGCCGUGCGAACUGGGAGGCUUGAGUCUGGUAGAGGUCGAUGGAAUUCCGGGUGUAGCGGUGGAAUGCGUAGAGAUCCGGAAGAACACCGGUGGCGAAGGCGGUCGACUGGGCCAGAACUGACGCUGAGGCGCGACAGCGUGGGGAGCAAACAGG